Molecule: transfer RNA, 92 nt
Filed under: Burkholderia contaminans
Lineage: Bacteria; Pseudomonadati; Pseudomonadota; Betaproteobacteria; Burkholderiales; Burkholderiaceae
Description: tRNA-Ala
Source: RNAcentral
UUGCUGUCGGGCGGGCAGCGCCAGCGUGCGUGCCUCGCGCGCGCGCUGCUGGCGCGUGCGCCGGUGCUGAUGUUCGACGAGCCGACCGCGAG